CUCUCUCUCUGUCUCUCUUUCGCUCUCUAUUAAAAGCAACAAAGUAUUACGAUAUGUAUAUACGAUAUACAAUAUUUAUAUUGAUACGUGAUCGAUAUACAAUCGAACACGACUAAUUAACGAAGAACUAGUUAAUUAGAGCAUUGUUAAAAGAUCAGGGAAGUAUCGAUAUCGCGAAAAUAAUGCUGGAAAAUCCGAGAAAUAAAUAUGACGUUAUAGCCUCACAAAAGAAGCCAAAAAAAGCCGAUUUUAUUUUCGUGGAUAUUUUUUAAACAAGAUGAUGUCAGGACUUCUGAACGUACAUACGUGGAAAUCGCAUUUUGGGAAAUCGAUUAAUACAUAAAAUAAAGAUGUUGCGUCAUUCGUUUAAUAUCAACAAGAAUGACCAUUGGAAGGAUACGUGUUACCAUGUCAGUUUCCUCUCGUACUCCGAGCACAACACAUCGAAAUGUACUCUUUCCAUACCACUAGAUUCAAUCAUAUUAUAGAUAUGAUAAUUUCAUAAUUAUUUAAAUAAUGCACAAUGUACUCAAAGUACGAUGAGGUAAUAAUUAAACAGUAUUACAUUUCGAAAAGCAUCGAAUAGCUCUUAAGAGACAAGCUAUAUGUAUUUAAAAGAAGAUAGACUUACUUGUUACUUGGAUAGCUAAAAAAUAUUAGAUCUAUAUUAGUAGAGUUGAAAAUUAAUAAAAAUAUAGAUCGAAAUUAAUAGAGUAAUAGGAUGUAUCGAUAUGUGUAGAGAAGAUAUCUUUUAAACAAGACGAUGCCAUAAUUUGCUAACACUUACGUGUGGAAAUCGUAUUUCCGACAAUCGAUUGGUAUAUAAAAUUGGUGUGCAUGUUA
Vespa velutina is the source of this 843-nucleotide long non-coding RNA. RefSeq lists it as uncharacterized. The record is from RefSeq and is a predicted model, not a curated record. Lineage: Eukaryota; Metazoa; Arthropoda; Insecta; Hymenoptera; Vespidae. The transcript has 4 exons.